GAUGAACGCUGGCGGCGUGCCUAAUACAUGCAAGUCGAGCGAACAGACGAGGAGCUUGCUCCUCUGAUGUUAGCGGCGGACGGGUGAGUAACACGUGGAUAACCUACCUAUAAGACAGGGAUAACUUCGGGAAACCGGAGCUAAUACCGGAUAACAUGUUGAACCGCAUGGUUCAACAGUGAAAGACGGUCUUGCUGUCACUUAUAGAUGGAUCCGCGCCGCAUUAGCUAGUUGGUAAGGUAACGGCUUACCAAGGCAACGAUGCGUAGCCGACCUGAGAGGGUGAUCGGCCACACUGGAACUGAGACACGGUCCAGACUCCUACGGGAGGCAGCAGUAGGGAAUCUUCCGCAAUGGGCGAAAGCCUGACGGAGCAACGCCGCGUGAGUGAAGAAGGUCUUCGGAUCGUAAAACUCUGUUAUUAGGGAAGAACAAAUGUGUAAGUAACUAUGCACGUCUUGACGGUACCUAAUCAGAAAGCCACGGCUAACUACGUG
This 497-nucleotide ribosomal RNA is filed under the name uncultured bacterium. RNAcentral's name for it is "partial 16S ribosomal RNA". It matches the Rfam family "Bacterial small subunit ribosomal RNA", at positions 28 to 507 of the family's 1533-position model. The record is from RNAcentral.